RNAcentral lists this ribosomal RNA (446 nucleotides) under uncultured bacterium. RNAcentral's name for it is "bacterial SSU rRNA". It matches the Rfam family "Bacterial small subunit ribosomal RNA", at positions 56 to 527 of the family's 1533-position model. The record is from RNAcentral.
UGCAGUCGUACGAGAGUUUUUACUCUAGUGGCGGACGGGUGAGUAACACGUGAGAAUUUACCUUUAGGAGGGGGAUAACAGCGUAUCAAUAGAUAUUACGGAAACGGCUGCUAAUACCCCAUAUGCUUUUGAGUGAAAUAGAUUUAUCUGCCUAAAGAGAAGCUCGCGGCUGAUUAGCUUGUUGGUAAGGUAAUGGCUUACCAAGGCGACGAUCAGUAUCUGGUUUGAGAGGACGAUCAGACACACUGGAACUGAGACACGGUCCAGACUCCUACGGGAGGCAGCAGUGGGGAAUUUUCCGCAAUGGGCGAAAGCCUGACGGAGCAAUACCGCGUGAGGGAAGACGGCCUAUGGGUUGUAAACCUCUUUUUUCAGGGAGGAAUUCAAUGACGUGUACCUGAGGAAUAAGCAUCGGCUAACUCCGUGCCAGCAGCCGCGGUAAUACG